Non-coding RNA from Cinara cedri, 1356 nucleotides. The record is from the annotation of a GenBank genome assembly. NCBI's taxonomy places the organism in Eukaryota, Metazoa, Arthropoda, Insecta, Hemiptera, Aphididae.
GACCCCCUCAUACGUUCUCUCUCGCUUUACCUAGUCCGGCGUAGAUCGUUUCGCCAGCGACAUACGGAGCUACAGAUGCUUCUAGAAGUCUACUGCGCAUUGUCGUAAAACCGUAGACGUUAUAUCGGGAAUUGAAAUUAUGAUUUGUCUCGCUAUACCGACAUUGACGAAUCUACCCGUUUAACCGGUAAUCCACUGAUACCGUGUUUGCUGUGUAACCGUAAAGCGGAUCGUGAAAUGUCUAACGGCAUCGGAUUUAUUACAGAGUGUAAUUAAGGUGCUCACAAACCGGAGCGGUUAGUGUCGCCGAAAAUUUGUCGUUUUUCACCAAUUUUAAAUUGAAGACGAACUCGUGGCUCAUAGUUAUAUUAAUUGGUUCGCUGCGGUAUGUUAUUACUGCAAGACUUGCAGCGAAAUAAUUUUCGUUCGAUGCCGUGCACUAUUAUAUUUCAUUUAUCUACCUCGGUAAAAUGAAUUUCCAAACGGGUCUGCCAAUAACCAGAUAGGACUUUUGAUCGAACGAAUUAUACGUGUGUUUGAUGGCGGAUUACUGUUGAAUUCUAAAUACGAAUUUACGUCUAGUCCGAAAAUAUUAAUUAUGUUAUAAUUUUAUUUAAUGCACUAAUCAUAAUGAAUAUUCACCGGUGGUCAGUAGGUAUCUGUGUCUAAACGUGUAUUUAUGAUACCGAUAUGAUGGAAACAUAUAUCAUGAGCAAUUCAAAUUGCAUAUAAACGAAUGACUACGGGUAUAUUAGCAGCCAUUUCGGAUCGAUUAUAUCGUACGAUGCGAUGAUUAAUAAAUUAAACAGGUAUUUAAUUUAUUGAAAGAAGCUUACAUUAACAUUGUAGCCUAGAAUUAUUUUAUACUAAAAUUGAGCUAAAAACAGGUGGCAUAUUAUACAUCCAAUAUUAAAGGGAAGGAAAACUCAUAGACGUUACCGUUGUCCAUUAGCAGAGUUUUUGUUAUACAUAUAAUUUUCUUUGAACGAGGUCUCUGUGUAUGUUUUGAACGUUUUGUUCAACUAUUUGGUUCAAGUGUGUACUAUCUCGGAUAUUUUAUCGGUUGGCGAACUUUUGUUUUUUUUUUUUUCAAUGUGGCAUUCAUUUACGAUGUAACAAUGAUUUAAAAAUUAAAAUUUUUUAUAGUAUUUUACGUACUCUUGGCCCUUGGGUUAAAUUACACGAUGUUGAAUAUAUUUAAAUGAAAUAUGUAUCAAACAGAUUACGAUUAUAUACGAUGCGAUUGUAAUUUAUAAUUGUUGGUAAUUUUGAAGUAGCGUAGACAGUAAAUAGUAAGUUAACCAUUUUUAUUAGUGUUCAUCAAUCUUCAUGCUUUAUUGGCUACCAUGAAAAAGU